UGUUAAAAAUUUCAUUCAUUUCUACUGUUAAAAAUUAGUGUGGCUAACAAAAUAAUCAGACGCCUACGUGUACCUCAUUAUGACAUACAAAAACUAAUUUUUAAUGAUAGAAAUGGAUUAAAUUUUUAGCA
Molecule: non-coding RNA, 131 nt
Organism: Gossypium raimondii (Peruvian cotton)
Lineage: Eukaryota; Viridiplantae; Streptophyta; Magnoliopsida; Malvales; Malvaceae
Source: Rfam